This 167-nucleotide microRNA precursor is filed under the name Medicago truncatula (barrel medic). RNAcentral's name for it is "miR5741c stem-loop (mtr-MIR5741c)". Lineage: Eukaryota; Viridiplantae; Streptophyta; Magnoliopsida; Fabales; Fabaceae. The record is from miRBase by way of RNAcentral.
AAACUAUAUGAAAUCUGUCAAUUUAGUCGUUAAAAUAUAUGAAAAUAUUUCAAUUUAGUCCGUAACAUCUUAAUAUGAUGGACUAAAUUGACGAAUUUCAUAUAAAUCAGUGAUUACUUAUUACAUUUACACGGUUUAGGGACUAAAUUGAUGGUUUCUUCUAGGUU